Molecule: long non-coding RNA, 374 nt
Filed under: Dromaius novaehollandiae (emu)
Lineage: Eukaryota; Metazoa; Chordata; Aves; Casuariiformes; Dromaiidae
Description: lncRNA (ENSDNVG00000018670.1)
Source: RNAcentral
UCCUGUGCCUUCCUUAUUUAAUUCUCCCUUAAGGCAUCAGCAGUGAUUAAAGUAAACAGUGUUCUAUUAUUUCUAAUGUACAUGCACGCCAGAGAAAAGGCCCAAAUCUUGGCUUCCUUCACAGGGACUGCUCCGUGCCAGACUGCUAGUACAAAGAAACUUCAAAGAACAUUUUGGUAAUGCCUGACAUUUCCCUCAUUUUGAGACAAUUUCUGGCUAUUAAAGCAUGGAUGCCCUGGACAAGCAAGCAUCUCUGAAGCUUCACUCCAGUAUUUGCAGUAUGCACACUGCUUUUAAGGUACAGCAUUUUUCACAAGGCAAAUGUGGGAGAAAGAAAACAUGAUGAGAAAGAUCUACAUUCCUCAGUGGUAAGU